Molecule: ribosomal RNA, 479 nt
Filed under: uncultured bacterium
Lineage: Bacteria
Description: partial 16S ribosomal RNA
Rfam family: Bacterial small subunit ribosomal RNA
Source: RNAcentral
GAUGAACGCUAGCGGGAGGCCUAACACAUGCAAGCCGAGCGGUAGAGUCUCUUCGGAGACUUGAGAGCGGCGCACGGGUGCGGAACACGCGUGCAACCUGCCUUUAUCUGGGGGAUAGCCUUUCGAAGGGAAGAUUAAUACCCCAUAAUAUACUGGAUGGCAUCAUCUGGUAUUGAAAACUCCGGUGGAUAGAGAUGGGCACGCGCAAGAUUAGAUAGUUGGUGAGGUAACGGCUCACCAAGUCAGCGAUCUUUAGGGGGCCUGAGAGGGUGAUCCCCCACACUGGUACUGAGACACGGACCAGACUCCUACGGGAGGCAGCAGUGAGGAAUAUUGGACAAUGGGUGAGAGCCUGAUCCAGCCAUCCCGCGUGAAGGACGACGGCCCUAUGGGUUGUAAACUUCUUUUGUAUAGGGAUAAACCUAGAUACGUGUAUCUAGCUGAAGGUACUAUACGAAUAAGCACCGGCUAACUCCGUG